This 266-nucleotide ribosomal RNA is filed under the name uncultured bacterium. Its description in RNAcentral is "partial 16S ribosomal RNA". It matches the Rfam family "Bacterial small subunit ribosomal RNA", at positions 89 to 353 of the family's 1533-position model. The record is from RNAcentral.
UGGCGACCGGCGCACGGGUGGGUAACACGUAUCCAACCUGCCGUCUACUCUUGGACAGCCUUCUGAAAGGAAGAUUAAUACAAGAUGGCAUCAUGAGUCCGCAUGUUCACAUGAUUAAAGGUAUUCCGGUAGACGAUGGGGAUGCGUUCCAUUAGAUAGUAGGCGGGGUAACGGCCCACCUAGUCUUCGAUGGAUAGGGGUUCCGAGAGGAAGGUCCCCCACAUUGGAACUGAGACACGGUCCAAACUCCUACGGGAGGCAGCAUG